RNAcentral lists this long non-coding RNA (366 nucleotides) under Sinocyclocheilus anshuiensis. RNAcentral's name for it is "lncRNA (ENSSANG00000025551.1)". The record is from RNAcentral. Lineage: Eukaryota; Metazoa; Chordata; Actinopteri; Cypriniformes; Cyprinidae.
UGCAUACAUUAAAGAUGAUUUUAGCUCUCUCAACACAUAAUAUCUUCUGUUUUAGGGUAAUAAGGAACAGUUGGAUGGUAUGAGGGGAGAACAGCAGCCCAGUGCUUUAUGGGAUACUAGAGGAACCAGAGAAGGAGGUGAACUUGACCAAGGAGAAGGGAAGGAAACUGACAACAACUCUGGGAACCCGAAACCUCAACCGGAAGAGAUGGCUAACGGCAGGUCUUUGGGAAGAGAGGGUAGUGUUUCACCAAGACAUCUGACAAGAAGUCCAAGAAGGUCCCCUUCUUCAAGGCGUAAGAAAGAGCAGGUGAGCUUUUGUCUUGAUAAGGUAAACCUCCAAGUGUUCGUUUAAGGGUUUGUUUA